RNAcentral lists this long non-coding RNA (255 nucleotides) under Rhinopithecus bieti (black snub-nosed monkey). RNAcentral's name for it is "lncRNA (ENSRBIG00000046271.1)". Lineage: Eukaryota; Metazoa; Chordata; Mammalia; Primates; Cercopithecidae. The record is from RNAcentral.
UUCCCAUUUAGGGGUACUGACCUGAGUGCCAUCUACCCAUCAAAGUGCUUAAGACCACAACAGCAACCCCUGAAGGUGACUAGUUUACUGCCAGCGAAGAGGAAUGUCUGGAUUCUCCUCUAAGUCCUUUGCACAAACUGCAGAAGCUGUCUCAUCCCAUCCUGAUGAAGCCCAUGCCUCUGACCAGAUUCUUCUAGAACUCAAGCAUAGGCAUUAGCCAUGGGGAUUCCCUUUUGGCCAAGAACCAGAGUCCCA